CCUACGGGAGGCAGCAGUGGGGGAUAUUGCACAAUGGGGGGAACCCUGAUGCAGCGACGCCGCGUGGGUGAAGAAGCGCCUCGGCGCGUAAAGCCCUGUCAGCAGGGAAGAAAAUGACGGUACCUGAAGAAGAAGCCCAGGCUAACUACGUGCCAGCAGCCGCGGUAAUACGUAGGGGGCAAGCGUUAUCCGGAUUUACUGGGGUGAAAGGGGGCGCAGACGGCGAUGCAAGCCAGGAGUGAAAGCCCGGGGCCCAACCCCGGGACUGCUCUUGGAACUGCGUGGCUGGAGUGCAGGAGGGGCAGGCGGAAUUCCUGGUGUAGCGGUGAAAUGCGUAGAUAUCAGGAGGAACACCGGUGGCGAAGGCGGCCUGCUGGACUGCAACUGACGUUGAGGCCCGAAAGCGUGGGGAGCAAACAGGAUUAGAUACCCUUGUAGUC
Molecule: ribosomal RNA, 440 nt
Filed under: uncultured bacterium
Lineage: Bacteria
Description: partial 16S ribosomal RNA
Rfam family: Bacterial small subunit ribosomal RNA
Source: RNAcentral